Molecule: non-coding RNA, 547 nt
Organism: Ictidomys tridecemlineatus (thirteen-lined ground squirrel)
Lineage: Eukaryota; Metazoa; Chordata; Mammalia; Rodentia; Sciuridae
Source: RefSeq, a predicted model, not a curated record
UCACGGCCUGCCAGCUUGGCGGCGGGGACAACCCUGCCGGGGACGCUCGCUGAGGAGAAAACGGGGGGCCGUUCUCUGGCGCCGACGAGAGAGAAGCUCGAGGGGAAACCCUGGCUCCUUCCGGAAUGGACAGAAGGCUGCUUUUUCCACAGCUGAGAAGUGGUUGGGGAAUGGUGGCUGGGAAGAGUUGCCCUGACUUCGCCCUAAAGGGAACUUCAGUUCUAGGCGGACACAACAUCUUCGUUUGUAUGUGGUGCUGAGGAUGGAACCCGGGCCGCAUGCACGCUAGGUAGCUUCAGAUAUCUUCACUCCUAUUGUUGGUAAAGAUGGCACCUGGAGCACUUCUCUUUCGGGAGCUCAGGUCCAUGAAGCACUGAAUGGCUCGAGAACUGUCACCUCCAAUCCCUGUGAAUGGCGCGAACUUUGAAUGGCGCACCUCCAAUCCCUUAAGUGGCUCAAACUCUCAGCCAAUGAAGAAGUAACAGCCCACUUGCCUUGCUCCUCCUCAUCUUGUGUUAAGCCCAUAAAUAUCAACACCCUGUUCCUG